AACAAAAUAUAAAGUGUUCUGUUUUCCUUCUAACAGUUUUAUUUGAUAUCAUAUAAAGUGUCAAUAACUUAAAGUUUGGAAGUUACUUUAUUGCUACUGUCAGAAACCAUUGUUGAGCCAAGAGAUACCUUAUUAUUUGGUCUAUACAGCAAUCUUAAGUUUUCUGCCUUUUCAUAUGUUUAUUCAUACAGUUACAUGAUUUGUUUUCAGUAUUACAACAUUUUUAGGACUUUCUUUUUUGCUUUUAUUAUGUAAUACAGUUGCUGUCAGAUGAAUAAAUGCUGUUCUUUAUAAGGAAAGUAUAUAAGAAAUUAGAAAGUUUGUUAACUAGUCGUUUAUAAAUAUUGGGAGUAUGUACUUAGAUUUCAUGUGUUUUAGUGCUCUUGAGUAUAACAGGCCAUAUUCUUCUCCAUGUCUUUGUAGUCACCGUGAAGAUUAAACCAGUGAUUCCUAAGCCACAUGAAAGCAUCAGCAUGGGGAACUGGAGGGAUAGGCUUAGAAAUUGUAGAACUGCUGUCUGGUUUUUGUUUAUUAGAUAUUUUCUUUAUUUACAUUUCAAAUGCUAUCCCGAAAGUUCCCUAUACCCUCCCCCUACCCUGCUCCCCUAUCCACCUACUCCCACUUCUUGGCCCUGGAGUUCCCCUGUACUGGGGCAUAUAAAGUUUGCAAGAUCUAGGGGCCUCUCUUCCCAAUGAUGGCCGACUAGGCCAUCUUCUGCUACAUAUGCAGCUAGAGUCAAGAGCUCCUGGGUACUGGUUAGUUCAUAUUGUUGUUCUACCUAUAGGGCUGCAGACCCCUUCAGCUCCUUGGGUACUUUCUCUAGCUCCUCCAUUGGGGGCCCUGUGUUCCAUCCAACAGAUGACUGUGAGCAUCCACUUCUGUAUUUGCCAGGCACUGGCAUAGCCUCACUCGAGACAGCUAUAUCAGGGUCCCUUCAGCAAAAUCUUGCUGGCAUAUGCAAUAGUGUCUGGGUCUGGUGGCUGAUUAUGGGAUGGAUCCCCGGGUGGGGUAGUCUCUGGAUGGUCCAUCCUUUAGUCUUAGAACUGUUGUCUGUUUUUUCUGUUGCUUUUACUUAUGUGAACUUAAUUUUUUUCUUUUUUUCAAGAUAGGGUUUCUCUGUAUAGCCCUGGCUGUCCUGGAACUCACUAUGUAGACCAGGCUGGGCUGGAGCUCAGAGAUCUGUCUGCUCUGCUUCAGGAGUGCUGGGAUUUUGCCACCAAACUGGGCUCCUAUGCGAUUUUAAUAGAGACCACCUUAUGACCCUCUUUGCUCAACUUUGAAAUUAACUGGGAUUUGUUCAUUUUUGAUAGAGUUGUUACAAGGAUGAUAUAUUAAAGAUAAGAAAUGUAGAUAAUUAAGUGGUGUUUUAAUGGUGGAAAUACGCUUAUAUAACUUCUGAUCAUUUUGAGACUGCUUUUAUUUGAGACAAUACUGUCUUAUAAAUUGCCUUUUCUCUAUCCUGUCCCCCUUACACUUUAUUGGUCUUUUUGAAACAGAAUCUUGCCAUGUAGCACAAGACAAGUACAGAACUUACUGUGAGUCCAGAUUAGCUCUGCACUCCCAGUUGUCUUGUCUCGGCCUCUGAAGGGUUGUGUUUACAGGCAAGUGCCGUUAUGCUGAGCACUCAUGAGCAUUCAGUUUCAUGAAGAGCUUCCAAAAUUCUCUCUGAUUUCUGUUAGCAUCUGUGGAUUAUCUAGUUUAUCCAGUAUUAGAAGCCUUUACUGCUGCAUUAAAUAAUUGACAGUACUAAACUGUACUUUUAAAGUGUUUAUUACAUUUAUUUAACUGGGAAGAGACCACCUGUGGAGGCCAGAGGACAAUUUGCAGGAAUUCUCUCUUAAAAGUGGUAAUGAUACCCCCUAGUUGUAAUAUGUGUAUAUAGUGUCACAUGAUUUUUUUCUUUUUCUUUCAUUUUUACUGAUUUGUAGGUUCAAAUAAAAGAUGGUUGAAAGAAUGGGAAAGUUUUAUAUUAAGGAAGUAAUAUAUCUUAGAGAUGAGAGAUUGAGAAAGAUAUUUAAAUUAGUUGAUCCUUAUAUACACACUUAAAGUUAAAUUUUAGACUUUAAUAAAAUACAAAUAAUGUAAGCAAUGUUUGGUAUAAAAUAUAUGUUUACUGGUUAUUUAUACUAAGAAUAGACUUUUAGACCCUAGCAGCAGGUAGUCUGAAUAGUCUUUUAAAAAAAUAGUCUUUAUUAUCUAAUUCAGUGAUUCUCAACCUUCCUAAUGCCGUGAACCUUUAAUACAGCUCUUUAUGUUGUGGUGACCCCUAUCCAUAAAAUCAUUUUUGUUGCUACUUCAUAACUGUAGUUUUGCUACUGAGCAGUGUCUUAGUUCCAAAGGUGAUGUGAAAUAUGUGUUUCCUGAUGGUUGUGACCCACAGGUUGGGAAGUGCUGAUGUAACUCAUAUUCUCCUGACAUAAUUGUAUUGUUCCUAAAAACAACUGCAUUAUUAUGAGCACAGUAAACAUGACAUGUUCAUUUGUUUAAAAAAUGCUAAUCAUAAUUAGCUAAGUGACUUUUUUCUGAUUUUAGGAAUUUUAUAGUCAGUGGCAGAAAAGUGGCCAAUUUUUUCUGGACUCAAUAGCACAUAAUAUAACCUGGGAUCCCGCAGGUAAGGAAAUUAACAAGAAUAACUAGAACAAUUUUAUCUGUGUGACAGUGGUGAGU
RNAcentral lists this long non-coding RNA (2667 nucleotides) under Mus musculus (house mouse). RNAcentral describes it as "long non-coding RNA chr18:49844052-49846719". The record is from RNAcentral. Lineage: Eukaryota; Metazoa; Chordata; Mammalia; Rodentia; Muridae.